GGUAGCUUAGUGGGCAAAACGCUUAUAGCUAUUUACUCGGUAAUGAAGGUCGAUGGUUCGAUUCCAUCCUGGAACA
This 76-nucleotide transfer RNA is filed under the name Rhamnusium bicolor. Its description in RNAcentral is "tRNA-OTHER". Lineage: Eukaryota; Metazoa; Arthropoda; Insecta; Coleoptera; Cerambycidae. The record is from RNAcentral.